UAUGCCACAGUGCAGCCCAAAAAUAGAAAAAUUUAAAAAUGAAGACAUCUACACAAGGAACAGGUACAUGAGUACAUGAAAAGGUGCUCAACAUCACCAAUCAUCAGGGAAAUGCAAAUCAAAGCCACAAUGAGCUAUCCCCUCACGGAUGUUACAAUGGCUGUUAUUAAAAUAAAAAAAAAAAGGUAUUGAUCAGGAUGAAGAGAAAAGGAACUCAUUGUUAGGAAUGUAAAUUGUGCUUGUACUGUGGAAAACAGCAUGGUGCUUCCUUAAAAAAAACAAAAAUAUAACUACCAUAUGAUCUAACACUCCCACUUCUGGGUAUAUAUUCAGGAAUUGAAAUAUUCAGCACUCCCAUUUUCAUUGGACUACUUUUCACAAUAGCCAACAUGUGGAAGCAAGCUAAAUGUCCCCUGAUUUAUGAAUGGAUAAAGAAGAUGUGGAACAUACAUACAAUGGAAUAUUAUUCAGCCUUAAAAAAGAAGGAAAUUCUGGUACUUAAGACAACCAUGGAUGAACCCAAAGGGCAUUAUCCUAAGUAAAAGAAGCCAGACACAGAAGAACAAAGACUGUGUAAUUACACAACUUAUAUGGGGAAUCUAGACUAGUCAAACUCAUAGAAAUAGAGUAUAAUGGUUGCCAAGGCCUGGGAGGAGAGGGAAAUGGGGAGGUAUUAGUGGGUAUAAAGUUUCAGUUUUGGCAGAUGAAUAAGUCCUGGAGAUCUACUCUACAACGUAGUGCCUAUAGUUAAUAAUACUGUGUUGUAUACUUAAAACUUUUCUAAGAGGGCAGAUCUUAUGUGAAGUGUUCUUAUCACAAACUAAUAAUAAUACAGAAGGUGGGAGGAAACCUUUGGAUGUGAUGGAUAUGUUCACAACAUAGACUGUGGUUGAGAGUUUCACAAAUGUAUACUUAUCUCCAAAUUCACCAAGCUGUAUACAUUAAAUAUGUACAACUUUUCGUAUGUCAACCGUACCUCAAUAAAGUGCUUUUAAAAAACAACUCUUUAACACUAAAAGCAAAAACCCUCUAAUUAGAAAAUGGGCAAAAAAUAUGAACAAACAUCACCAAAAAAGGAGAUAGAGACACAAAUCAGUGUAAAAAAAGAUAGUCGAUAUCAUUAGCCAUCGAGGAAAUGUAAAUUAAAACCACAAUGAGAUAUCAAAAUCACUAAAAUAAAAAAUAGUGACAAUACCAAAUGCUGUGGAAAAUGAGGAAAAAUUGAAUCAUUCAUGCAUUGCUUUUGGCACAAGUACUCUGGAAAGAAGUGUGGCAGUUUCAAAAUGGUGGUAAGAAAUGGUGUUAUCAUAUGACCCAGCAAUUGCCCUCUUGGGUUUUUAUUCCAGAUAAAUGAAGUUAUUUUCACACAAAAUCCUGUAAGCAAAUGUUCAUAGGAGCUUUAUUAAAAUAGCCCAAAUCUGGAAACAGCCCAGAUGUCCUUCAAUGGAUGAAUAGUUAAACCCUUCACCUUUGUGGUAGCUUCACAUCAUGAAAUAUCACCCAGCAAUAAAAAGAAGGACCUAUUAAUACAGUGACUUGGAUGAAUUUUAAGGGCGUUAUGCUGAGUGAAUAAACCCAGUCCAAAAAGAUUACAUUUCUGUAUACUAUCGUUUAUAGGACAUUCUUGAAAUGACAAAAUUAUAGAAAAACAUAUUAGUGGCUAUCAGCCCCCUCCCCCAAGUGAGGUUAUGAAAAGGUGUGUGAUGGAACAGUUCUGUACCUUGACUGUGGUGGUGGAUUUGUAUCUAAACAUAUGAUAAAAUUGGAUAGAAAAAAUACAUACAUACACUGAGUACAAGUAAAACUGGGGAAAUCUAAGUAAGAUUGGUGGAGUUGAUCAAUGCCAGUAUUCUGGUUAUGACCUUGUACCAUAGUUUCCGGAAUUGUUACCAUUGCGGAAAACUGGGCAAAGGGUGCAGAAGAUCGCUGUAUUUUUUUUUUUUUUUUUUUAAACAAACUGCAUGUGAAUAUACCAUAUUCUCAAAAUACUUUAAUAUUGUUUUAAAUGUGUAAGUACUUCUGGGCUAUUUAUUUAAUUAAAAAAAAAGUACAACCCUCUUAAAAACUCAAUGGCCAGGGGCAAAAGGCUAUUUCAUAAAUUUUAUGAAACCACCUAGCUCCUAAGUGCCACUCCCUCACCUUGCUGUCAGCGACGUGUUGUGUGCUGCAUAGUGUAGCAAGUAGGAGUUGGAGAGCGCAACUGGCGUGGGCUCACGGUGUUCAGGUGUGUGUGUCCAUAGGUGGGCAGUGGUGUGAGGGUGAAAAAGAGAAAUCAGAGAGAGCUAUGCCUUUCCGACUGUCAGGAAGGGUGGACAGCUGAUGAAGGUGCUGUGCUGAAAGCCAGGAAAGGGUUUAAGGAGGGUGCUGGCGCCUCAGGAACGCCCUCCUGCUACGUUGUCCAGGAGGCCGUGGGCGGUGGCUGAACAGCCCCGGUGCAGUGACUGAACCCCACCGUCGACAGGAAAAGGUGUUCCUUUGAUACAGUGGAUGGUGACUCUGCUGUUCUGCCUGGGAGUGGUUCAAAAUGUAAGUUCAGCAAACUAACAAAUAAUUAAAUGUCCAUAAUUCUAGGGCUCUAUGCAGAACAUUUCUUCCCAUUUUCAUUCCUUUUGCCCAGGACUCUAGCCUGAUAAAUAAAGAGUCUAGAAGGAGGUGAUACCAUCUCCUUGGGUAGGCAGAGGGAUGCCCAACUGAGACCAACGUUUGUUCAGUGUUCAACAGUGGCACUGUAUCAAGGCACCAUGACAGCCAUCCGUUGCCAUUUUUCUCUACCCCUCCCCACCCCAUUAGUUUUCAUUACUUUUCUAGUAAUAGAAAAUGAACCUUUGGUAUCUGGGCAAUGCUGAAAUGACAUCUCUCCUCAUGUGGGGGACAGAUCCCAGUAGGUAGACAUACAGGAGCAGCAUUCUUUUGUGCCAGGUGAAAUCCUUUGGCGGCUAUUGAGUUAGCUUUCCUAAUGCAUAGAUGAACCAGAAUACUUCUUGAGCUCAGCUCCCUGUUGAGAUCUGCUACGCUUCAGAUAUAAAGUGAAAAGUGUUCAAACACGGCAUUGCUCUUGGACACAUAGACACUGGAUGGUGCAGGAUUUUACCAUCGGCCUGCCUUCUCCACUUUGGGAUAUCAAAUACUUCCACGUAUGGUUCUUUAUGGAAGCAACUCUCUGUUCUCAGAAAGGGACCCAGAGGAAGACCCCUCCCUGUUUCUUUAGAGACCUCACCAUGUAAUUUAAGAUAUUUUUGAAACAAUUCUUAGGCAUUUAAUGCAUUUGAUCAUUGGUCAGGCUCCAGAAAGCUGAUUUUUAUUAGGAAAAAUGUCUUCCUUCCCUUGUCUUCCCCUUGCUUUUCUGCCUCCCUCUUUCUGUUCCCUUGCCCCUAAACAUGGACUUCUGUGUAAUUCAGUUCACUAAAUAUUUCUCCAUUCUUCGUUUCGCUGCAGAGUUUAUUGCUAGAGUGGCUAAUAGACUUUCAGCACCAAUAGUGUAUUGAUCACUUGAAAUCUUGUUUGAGCUUGACUGAAUAUACAUAAUGGGGUGUCAGUCGGGGAAAAAAAAAUCUCAUAAUAAAUGGCAGGUGACUUAUAUUCAUGAGAAAAAAUGUCUUGGGCAGUGCACAAAAUACCAUGUUUACUGUAGCAUGACCGGCUGAUUUCACCAGUCUCCUCACAGUCAUUGGAUGGAUAUUUAAUAGCAAAGGCAAGGUUAGAAUACCAAGAUCCUGGAACCUUUCUUUCUUUGUUUAUAUGGAGAAGCAUUUUUGCACACUCUAUAGAACAUAAACAUCUUCUACAAUCGUAGCCAGCAAGAAAGAUCUUUUCUACCUGAAGAGUUCAGAAAUUGCAAACAAAUCUGUUGAAGUUGGUGUCUGUUUAAAAUCAGCUUCUGAUUUAUGCAGUCUAUAUUUUUUAACUUUUUACCAUGUGUGUAUCAGUGCAUACACUCGGUGUAUGCAAAUAUCAUUUGCAAUGUGUAUGAGAGAGCACGGUAUAUUUAGAGAAAAUCCUGCUUUACAUAAAUUAUUUUUAAGAACAACCAAGCAGAGGAGUAGCCAUGCGUUAGGAAAGCGAAAUCCUUUCGGUUUUCUUUUUUAAAUUUCCUAUUGAAUGAUAAGGAAUGGGGUCUCAAUUUUGAAGUUUUAUGGGUCAUUCUUCAAAAUCUAUUUUCCCGAUAGAGCACUGGCCAGUAUUUCUAGGGAAGUGAUAUUUGGGGUUACUUUCUGUAGCUGACUUAGAAAUGACUCCGUUGCUACUGACUGUACUUGUGGCAUCUGGCCACUGUGGAGUAUUGUCGUAGCCAUAAUCCUGCUUCACCCCAAGACAGUGUGGGGUGUAUAACACUCCCCAGCCCACGGGGUAGGGUGCAUUUGAACUUCUGUCAGGAAGUCUUGUUCUCCUGUAAGUGAAUGCAGUCAAUGGGCUCUUUACUUCUCAGGUUUAAAUUUGCUUUUUUAUGGCAAAAACCAAAUCACACUGUAGGUAAAUGCCUCUUCCACUUCCUUUACGACAUUCAAGAUUUUACAAAGCGUAUUAUGACAGCGUUUUUGCUUUUUAAAUCUCAGGUCGUAUCCAGUAGCCAGAGGAACCGACUUACCAGAGUAUGUGAAAUAGGGCAGGAGAGACGAUGAGGGUACAGAAGACGUGACAUGUCAGGGCCUGAUCACAUCUACAGUUUUUCUGUAGGGCUUCAAGAACUUUUGGCUGUUUUCAUCUACUUCAUUAAAAUGCUUCUGAUCUGUUUUUUAAGGUUUCUGCUUAGCAGGAAGAGAGAAAGCAAAGUUUGCUGAGAAAAUGGUGUUGAGAACUAGUCAGUUGGAGCAGUUCAACAGUAUAUGAUUAUAAGGGAGCUACAUAUUUUAGCAAUCUUUUAUAAGUAAAAUCUUGUAUCUAUUCUUUCUUUUAUACAUGAAUACCGUUUUGUGACAAAAACUAUUUGUAGUAUGUGGCUUUUUGCACAAAGAGAGGUAAUCAUGUUUGAUGGUUUAAGCUUAGGGAAUUAUGUCAUUGAGACGUGAGCAAAAACUACAUUAUAUGAGAACUUUAAACUUGGGAAUUAGCUGUUUGAAUAAACUUCCUUCCUUUUAACCUACAGAGAAACACAUGUCUGAAAAUGUUAAAAAUUGGAGGUAUUGGAUGCCACCAAUAAAAGGGAAAACAUGAAAUCCCAGGGCAGAGAGAAUUGGAAGGAAAACAUUUCCCAGAGAAAUUUGAAUCCGAAACCUGCAUUUAUAGGCCUUGCUGUUGUCUUAAAUUGUGGAUAGUUUUACUGAUUUAUUUUAAUAAAGUGAAAGGAGAAAAUGAAUAAGGAACCAAGUGGAAGCUACACAAGCUAUGUUCUGAAUAAAAGAUAUUCAGGAUUAUGGGUUGGCAAUACAAAUACCUAGUUUUAGUAUAUUACUUUCUUAACAGUUUGUGCCAUCUUAGAGUGAGAAUGUUUAAAAACAAAACAACUUUAAGCACCUAUGUUUUAUUUUUAAUUUUUCUAGGGCCACACCCGCGGCAUAUGGAGGUUCCCAGGCAAGGGGUCCAAUCAGAACUACAGCUGCUGGCCUACACCACAGUCACAGACACACCAGAUCCAAGCAGCUUCUGCAACCUAUACCACAGCUCACAGCAACGCCAGAUCUUUAACCCACUGAACGAGGCCAGGGAUCGAAUCCACAUCCUCAUGAAUCCUAGUCGUGUUCGUUAACUGCUGAGCCGCAACGGGAACUCCUAAGCACCUGUGUUUUAUAGAGCUUGUCAGUAGAACUAAAAACAACAUCAGUAGACCUACCAGGUGCUUGGUAAAGAUUUUAAGUUCUUUUUUUUAAAAAAAAAAUCUUUCUUCAACACAAAAUUUUAAAACCAGGUUGAAUUUGCAGCCAUUUCACAGGAAUGGACAUUAUAAUUUCUGGAAUUUGAUUUCAUAUAUGAUAUGUGAAGUGAACAUUAGGAAGUAAUUGGAACUUCUGUAUUUUUGUUUUCUUGCAACUGCUACAGUUUCAGAAGACAGUCUGAGCUCUCUUCCGUUAGCUACAGCUCAUUUAAAGUUAUAGUCAUUUAAUAGAAGAACAGCAGUGGGACCACUUUUCCUUCCAACAAUGAUUUAACUAAUAACUAGGCUAAUGCAAUGGAUUAAGGAUAAUAUGCUUUUUUAAAAAUUGUUAUUUUUUUCACUUUAAUGAAGAACACAUUGAGGCAAAGUAAAGAAAAAUGACAGUGUACUAAUUCAAUUAUCAGUGAAGUCAUAGCCCAGUAUAUGCCACUUUUAAUAACUCUAGCUUUGCAUUUAAUAAAAAGUUUAUUUUCAGGUUUAAUUGUUCAUGCUAAGAAAUCAGCAGACAACUUGCUUAGGGCAUGGAACAGCUGCUGAGCUUUAUCCUCAGUAGGUUUAUUAAACCCCCAUGUGCCUCCUAAGAAGGAAAUGUUGCCAUUUGUAACAACAUGGAUGGACUUAGAGGGCAUUAUGCUAAGUGAUAUAAGUCAGAGAAAGACAAAUGCUAUGUGAUAUCACUUAUAUGUGGAAUCUGAAAAAUACAACAAAUGAGUGAAUAUUUAAAAAAAAAACAAAACAGAUACCAAGAAUAAACUAGUGGUUACCAGGGAGAGGGAAGGAGGGCAACAGGGGUAGGGGAUUAAGAGGUACAAACCACUAAGUAUAAAAUAGGAGUUCCCUGUUGUGCUACAGUGGAAAAAAAUCCAAUGAGUAUCCAUGAGGAUGUGAGUUUGAUCCCUGACCUCGCUCAGUGGGUCGGGGAUCCAGUGUUACUGUGAGCUGUGGUGUUGGUUGCAGAUGCAGCUCAAAUCCCGAGUUGCUGUGGCUGUGGUGUAGGCUGGCAGCUGUAGCUCCCAUUCAACCCCUAGCCUGGGAACUUCCAUAUGCCGUAGGUGUGGCCCUAAAAAGCAAAAAUUAAAUAAACUACAAGGAUGUAUUGUAAAUCAUAGGAAAUACAGCCAAUAUAACUAUAAAUGGAGUAUAACCCUUAAAAAUUAUAAAUUGCUGUGGUGUACACCCCCCAAAAAUUCAAAUCCCCUCUGGGACAACUUGGGGCCACAGUCAGCCGAUGAUUUCUUAUACUUACUGAUGAGUUAAUAACAUAUUCUAUGUAUAUCAUAUAAGUAUAUAAUGAACUUACUACAAGUAUAUUGUUAUACUUAUUAAUAGCUAAAUGUAUAUACAUACCAUUUCAAACAAACCUAAGCAAAUCCAGUUUAAUUAGAAACCCAAUACUGAGAAAUAGACACCAUGAAAUGUCCUAGAACAGUAAAGAAAAUAGGCUUGACUAUUUGCCCAGCUUAGUUUUUGCUUGAGAUACAUGCUGUGGAAGACGUCAUUUUCUUAUGAAUAGGCUGAUCCACCGUGGUUUUGUAGGAAUUUGGUGAAAGAGUAAUUCAUGGUGGGGUUUUUUUGGGUUGUUUUGGUUUUGGCGUGUGUAUUUUCAGUUGAGGGUAUGUCUUUAAGGAAUGAGAGUCUCAUUUAAAAAAAAAAAAAUUCCUUGAAACCAGUGAAUCUCACUUUUGAGUUUGAACUUCUUCAUCUUGCUGUAGCCUUUGCUCCCUUAAGGCUGUGCUUUGGUCACGCUGACAAGUAUGGACAUGCAAAGCCACCAUCCGAUGGACUUGAUUUUGUCUCUGCCAAAUGGAAGAAGUGGCCGGCCUAUGAAUUCUAUACCCAAGCCAAGAAUUUGAAAUUGAUGUUAUUCUCCAGCAAGCUGGCCACUCCCUCUUCAGAAUCACUGUUGUCACUGGUGUGCUCUUUCUCUACUCCUGCAAACAUCUAUAUGUCUACAAGUUCUUCAGAAUCACUUGAUAAGCAUUCAAGAUAAGAGUACAAAACCUACUAUAGGAGUUCCCGUCGUGGCGCAGUGGUUAACGAAUCCGACUAGGAACCAUGAGGUUGCGGGUUCGGUCCCUGCCCUUGCUCAGUGGGUUAACAGUCCGGCGUUGCCGUGAACUGUGGUGUAGGUUGCAGACUCGGCUCGGAUCCCGCGUUGCUGUGGCUGUGGUAUAGGCUGGCAGCUGCAGCUCCGAUUAGACCACUAGCCUGGGACCCUCCAUAUGCCACGGGAGUGGCCCAAGAAAUGGCAAAAAGACAAAAAAAAAAAAAACCUACUAUAGACCCACAUUUUCAGGCUCCUUCA
Molecule: non-coding RNA, 8114 nt
Organism: Sus scrofa (pig)
Lineage: Eukaryota; Metazoa; Chordata; Mammalia; Artiodactyla; Suidae
Source: RefSeq, a predicted model, not a curated record